UCAGGAUGAACGCGGGCGGCGUGCCUAAUACAUGCAAGUCGAGCGAACAGACGAGGAGCUUGCUCCUCUGACGUAGCGGCGGACGGGUGAGUAACACGUGGAUAACCUACCUAUAAGACUGGGAUAACUUCGGGAAACCGGAGCUAAUACCGGAUAACAUGUUGAACCGCAUGGUUCAACAGUGAAAGACGGUCUUGCUGUCACUUAUAGAUGGAUCCGCGCCGCAUUAGCUAGUUGGUAAGGUAACGGCUUACCAAGGCAACGAUGCGUAGCCGACCUGAGAGGGUGAUCGGCCACACUGGAACUGAGACACGGUCCAGACUCCUACGGGAGGCAGCAGUAGGGAAUCUUCCGCAAUGGGCGAAAGCCUGACGGAGCAACGCCGCGUGAGUGAAGAAGGUCUUCGGAUCGUAAAACUCUGUUAUUAGGGAAGAACAAAUGUGUAAGUAACUAUGCACGUCUUGACGGUACCUAAUCAGAAAGCCACGGCUAACUACGUGCCAGCAGCCGCGGUAAUACGUAGGUGGCAAGCGUUAUCCGGAAUUAUUGGGCGUAAAGCGCGCGUAGGCGGUUUUUUAAGUCUGAUGUGAAAGCCCACGGCUCAACCGUGGAGGGUCAUUGGAAACUGGAAAACUUGAGUGCAGAAGAGGAAAGUGGAAUUCCAUGUGUAGCGGUGAAAUGCGCAGAGAUAUGGAGGAACACCAGUGGCGAAGGCGACUUUCUGGUCUGUAACUGACGCUGAUGUGCGAAAGCGUGGGGAUCAAACAGGAUUAGAUACCCUGGUAGUCCACGCCGUAAACGAUGAGUGCUAAGUGUUAGGGGGUUUCCGCCCCUUAGUGCUGCAGCUAACGCAUUAAGCACUCCGCCUGGAGACGCCUACUUGG
This 884-nucleotide ribosomal RNA is filed under the name Staphylococcus sp. M_A_08/11_6_2. Its description in RNAcentral is "bacterial SSU rRNA". It matches the Rfam family "Bacterial small subunit ribosomal RNA", at positions 24 to 893 of the family's 1533-position model. The record is from RNAcentral. Lineage: Bacteria; Bacillati; Bacillota; Bacilli; Caryophanales; Staphylococcaceae.